ACUGUGGAGGGUUGAGAGCAAGAGGUAAAAUGUAAACUCAUUAGAUUUAUAAUUUAAAAUUCCUGAUUGUGGUAAGAUAUUUUAAGCAUUAGGAUGAGAUUAGAUCGAUCAUUGAACAAGAUUUGUCAUAAAAAUCUGUAUGUAUUGAGCUAUAUUCAUGAUCUACAAAAUCUAGUUUGGAGAUCUGAAACCAAGUCAAUAUCUAAAAAGUGACUAGAAAUACAAGUAUUCAUUUCUAGAUAUGCAAGCCAGGUGCUGCUAGUAAGUCUCUGUAUUUGAGUACCUCAUCUGUAUGAUGCAGGAUGUAUGUGACACUAACUGAAAAGAAUCUGUUCAGAGCACUAUGGGGAAGCUAACAGGAAGUGUGUGUGUGUGUGUGUGUGUGUGUGUGUGUGUGUGUGUGUGUGUGUGUGUGUGUGUCUGUGUCUGUGUCUGUGUGUGUGUGUGAGAGAGAGAGAGAGAGAGAGAGAGAGAGAGAGAGAGAGAGAGAGAGAGAGAGAGAGAGAAGCACUUAGGAUUGAAAAAUUGUUUUCAGCAAUCCUUUUGGCAUCCCUUAAGAAUGGACUUUUUCCAAUUGAGCAGCAGGUUCUUACCCAAGGGCAGGUCCAUGACUAGAUCUGACACCUAGACUACAUCUAUAAAUCUACACACCUACAAUACAUGCCUAUAGGAAAACAAAAACAAAUAAAAAGCCAAAAUCAAAUAAAAAUAAAAACAAGGAAUCGCUUUUCUAUGCAUUUGCGAUAUACAUAGCUGCCACUUAAAAACCCCUACUGAAUGUUGAUCACUGUCUUCUUUUCGACUGUUUAUGAAACCCUCAUGUUUUGUAACAUUUUUUCCAUCAUGUCACUGUUUCAAUCUCUCUGUUAUUUUCAUUUGGAGCAAGGAAGUUGAGUCACUUAUUAAGGCCUUUGGAGGAUGAGUACUCAAAGAAGAAGUCCUCAUCUACUUCUUUAAUUCCUAGUAUUUGCUGGCUUACACCCAGACGGUACGUCUUGAAGCAUUGCUUGCUUUAUGUUUAGGCCCUCCUGUUUAGACUAGUAAAAGGCAAAAGACGCUCAGAAAACACUAUAGCAUUAAAGGGGUAGUUUUAUUUAAAUGAAUAUUUGGAGGGAGUAAUACUUUUCUUUUUCACUCAAAUGCCCACAGAAUAAAAGGAGCCCUUUUGAAUAAAAUUCAGUAAACAAUAAUAAUCUCUCCUUUCCAGAUCAAAAUAUAGGAACAAAGAUUAAGUGGGAAUUUCUGAUACAUAUGAUUAUUCUCUGACCUAUCACACAAGGUAAAAAAAAAAAAAGAAGAAGAAAAAAAAGAAAAAGUUAUAGCACUAUUUUCUGGUUUCUCUAUGAAGCUAUAAAAAUGUAUAUGUGAUUCAGUCAUCUCUUAAAGAAAAAAAUAUGCAACAUAUAAAAUGAAUGUGUUUAAUAGUGUUGUAAAAUCUCAGCCACCUCUUAUUUUCAGUAGCAAAUGUAUUCAUUAGUGUCCCUCUUGCUAAUAGUAGCAUCAUUAUGAAUCCACACAUAUGAUUAAGAAAACACUGUGUGCAUUAGCCACAGAGGAUAAUUUUCCCUUUGGGAUUUAAUUGUUGUGUUUGAAGGAGUGAAGUGCAAUCACUAGGAAAGGCUGAGGGACCAGUGCAUUUAGGCUCCUGGGUCUAGUUCUCAUUAUGUAUGUGUGAAUAUUAUUUUGUGCAGUGAAGGAAGGGUACAAGGUAUUAUGGACAUAUGGUAUGCAUGAAAAUGUAACAUUUUGCUAAGUUCUUUGACACCAGAAUCACUAACCAGGUUGGAAAGAAGCAAAACUGUCUCUUCAGGAGGGCAUCUUAGCUUCUUUAUUGUUCUCUCUAGAGUGGGAAAUUCUCUAAAGCAAAGUUGUCUCUUAAACAACUUAAAAAGCCCUGACAUUACUACCUAUAGAAAAAUCUAGAGUCCUGGAUAACUAAACGCCAGGCCUUUCUUGGUCUAUUACUUAUGAUUUUGCUUAUUUAUAAGCACAAAACACUCAUUACCUUAAUCUUAGAAUAGUGUGACAUUCUCUCAGGGGAGAAAAACCUAUGGAGGAUUGGACAGACAACAAUACCUUUUUUGGGUGAAACAUGCCAUGUAUGUUGGAUCCCUUCUGCCAAAGUAUCUAGCACCUCUGUGAACAUUUCACCCCAUCAUAAAGUAACUUGUGAGUGGAUAUAAAUUCAUCAGGAAGAGAGGUUAGAGAAUUGGAUGGGCCAAAGAAAGUCAGCUGCUUCUUCGUUGUAUAGGGAACAACCUGGAUUCGAUUUCAAAUCACUGUGGUUCAUUGUUAUUUCUAAGAACUAAAAGGAUGCCAUGAACUAAUUGAAGAAACUGACUAGGACAAGAGAACAAGAAAGAUAACGUGAGAAAGAGCUACCUUUCACAGGAGUCAUAAAGUGAGAUCCUUAUACGCCACCUUGGACACUCUUGAGUCAGUACUGAACCACUGCCCCGUUGCAGUAAUAACUUGGGAUAAAAUAAAGCAUCCUCCAAGGAGGCAUUUAGUGGUGAGCUAAGGCUGAGAGCCUUCAAGGACAUUUAUCUCCAUAGUAGCAAUGCUUGACUCUUUGUGGUUUCCACAAAUCUCCGUAAAAGGCAUUGAUCGCCGCUGUCAGUAUGAUUAGAGGAAGCGCCGAUGCAUAGCAUGUUUAUGAUUUUGAAAAGAAAAAAAAAAGUCUCACGUACUCAUCAUAUACCAUGUAGAGGUUUUCAUUCCUGGAAAAGAUAAAGUGUCCAUUUUAAAGUGAAGUUCUCUAUCUUUGGUCCUGUGCUUAAGUAGUUUUGUCUAUUAUUUAGAUUGUGCCUAAAGACCAAGAAAGUGGUCCUGAUCUGUGACUUUAAUCAUUUCUCUUACUUCUGGGCUCAUCCUCUCCCACCUUUUCAAAACCGAGAUUAGUGCUCCUUAAAUGCAUUUUACACC
RNAcentral lists this long non-coding RNA (2925 nucleotides) under Mus musculus (house mouse). Its description in RNAcentral is "long non-coding RNA chr16:40088983-40091908". The record is from RNAcentral. Lineage: Eukaryota; Metazoa; Chordata; Mammalia; Rodentia; Muridae.